AGUGAGGGAGGGUAUCAGGCACCAGCUUGCAUGGCACAGGGCCUCCGCCAGUCCCCUGUGCUGGCUGAAGCCAGGUGAGAGUGGCCAAUGGGGCCAGGAGCACACACAAAGUCAGGCCCAGGCCUGGGGCAGCACGUGGUCCUGUACCCUGGAGGGGUGCAGACGGCGAGGUCCUAUCCCAAGGUGGGUGUCUCCUCUGGGGAGUCCCUGAGCUAGGAGUUAACACAGAGAAGGGAGCGGCCCUUUAACAUUCUCUGUAAGUGCCGUGCGGGGUCCACCCAGCCCCAAGCCUGCGGGAUCCCUGACCUGAAGACCAGCGACUCCUCCUCCAAGGUGAGCAGGACGGCGAGGGCGAGCAGAUGGCAUCACAGGGAGGGCACAGGUGUGGACCAUCCUUCAUUCACCUCCUUCCAGGAGGUCUCAAAGAGGGGAGCUCACAGUCUAGUGGGUGGGAGAACGAGACAGGAAGACCUAUGAUGGAAUAACGACGUUACCACAUCAACAGUUGUUAAAAGAGCCGAUGGAUGCUUUUCAACUUCGCUAUGUGCCAGACACGCUCUACACACUUGGCAUGUGAUCGUGUGUUUAUACCUCCCCUAGGAGUAGGCAUUAACCCCAUUUUAAAGAUGAAUAAACUAAAGCACAGAGAGGUGGCAGAUGAAGUAGCCUUCCCAAGGUCACACCGCUGGCCAACAUAAGGUAAUAAUCAGUGCUGCUACUGAUCCUUAUCUGGCACCAGGAAUAAAUGAAUCAAGCCAUGGAAACACGUCUUCAGGUACCGUCAAUUCUCUCUACAGAGGAAACCCUCCCAACUCCCAUUGUUGGCCUUCAUUCCCAGAGGUCACUCUGAGGAUGAGGAUACUUGAGGGGGUAGUAACACGUUGCACAAAUAAAGCAUGUGCCUUUCAUUCAGCCAGGCUGUUGGGAGGACAGAGACGUCCCUUUCCCUACACGGCGCCGCGUGUCCAAGAUUAUUUCAUACCUAAAAAAGAGGCUCCCCAUACAUGCUUUAUUCACCAGCGAGUCUGCAAGGAAGGGAGGAAGACCCUGGUGUCACCUACAAAGUCAGCAUCAUCCCUGGGAAUUCUGGGCCGAGUGGCAUGAAUUCUGGGUCACACGUCAGGCACUUAUCAUGGGGUGAAUCAUCUGUUUCCUUACCCUGGGUAGGCGCCGGCUGAAAUUUCCCCUUGUGAAGUUUUCCCAAGAAGAAUUUGGUACUGAAAGGAGAUUGGCCAUGUAAUACUCAUCAUAAAUAAAAUGAACACACCAUGGACAACCUCCAUUCAAGUACCCAACUAGGGUGCUGGCUUCUGGCAUGUCCCAAACAUCAGGCCUAAGGACGGAUGGGAUGCUGAGUGUGAAGAUGCUGGCAACACACAUUGGCAAUGAAACAAGCAUGGACUCCCGUGUCCCUUCCUUGUAAGUAGCCCCCUUUCUGGGAAGCCAUUCAGGAGGGACACACUGCAACGAAGAGGAGCAGAGCAUCACGUUAUACACAAAGCGAGGGCCACAAGGAUGACUUCCUGUUAAGCAGGAAGUGGGUCUACAGUGAAAGUACCACCUCUUCAGGAAAGCUGGCAUCAGGGACAAGGGGUACCUCUAGACAUGCGCGACACACAGAGGUGAGCAAACACAGGUGACACAUACAUGAAGAGACGUGCACACACUCAGCUCAACUAUCUAUCCAGAUGUGCAGACACCAACUCUAGUUUCUGGGUGACUUAGGGCCAGAUUUGAUACCUAAAAAAAGGUCAACCAUGUAUGAUUCGUCAAAAAAAAUAAAGCGAAUGCACCAUGGAAGACCUCUCUUCAAGUACCACCAAGUAGCUCUGGUAAGAAAAACCCCACUUCUCCCUUCAUGUUGGCACCACCUCCAAGCAUCUUCCCAUGGACGGUCACACACCAAGGGGGAGGACUGGGUCACACAGCAUCAGGAAACUGUGCGCUCUGCCAUCCACCUGUGGUCAACAGUCCCUCCAUUUACCCUGCAGGAGCUGACCCCAAGGUCCCGCCCUGACGUGGUACUCUGCCUCUUAAAGCGGAAUUUGGUACUGAAAAAUAGGUGAGCCGUGAAUGGCUCUUCACCAAUAAAGUGAGAGCUACACAGAUAACCUAUCUUCAAGUCACACAGAUUAGCACUGACCAGGUGCCAGUGCCUCGUCUCCAAAGCUGGCCUUCUUCAGGAAGUCCCUCUAAAGACAGAGUGAACACUGAUUGUUAGCAGACUGAUAGAGCAGCAUGAAUGAAACACACCCUCUAAGUUCAACCAGCCCAUCCUAGACCCUGAAGUAGCUCAGACAUGCACACCUUUGCCUGCCUGGCAAAGGAUAUCUAAGAAGCACUUCCAAGGCAUUGCAGGUGGAGAGGUCAAGUUCAUAAACAUUCAUUAUUUAUCACAGCAGGGACCAUUUCCUCAUUUUGUAUUUACAUCAGUGAUCCUUUCCUCACCUAUGUCUUGUGUCCAGGAAGCUCCCCAAAGCUGGAGUUUAUUCCAGAGAAGUUGAAUUUGCCAUACUGCUCUUAAAGAACAUGACAGCAUGGUACACAAACUUUAUGAUACUAAGGUAUGGCACUGACCUCGGAAUUGUGGCCUCAUCUCCAAAGGUAGGCAGAACUUCCGAGGAAUCUUCCU
RNAcentral lists this long non-coding RNA (2632 nucleotides) under Sus scrofa (pig). Its description in RNAcentral is "lncRNA (ENSSSCG00065039087.1)". Lineage: Eukaryota; Metazoa; Chordata; Mammalia; Artiodactyla; Suidae. The record is from RNAcentral.